GACGAACGCUGGCGGCGUGCCUAACACAUGCAAGUCAACUUGACUGAAGGAGCAAUCUGACAGUAGAGUGGCGCAAGGGUGCGUAACGCGUAAGUAACUUGCCCAAGGUAAGGAAUAACGUCGAGAAAUCGGCGCUAAUACCUCAUAAUGCAGCGGAUCCGCAUGGAUAUGUUGUUAAAGGUUUACCGCCUUGGGAUAGGCUUGCGUCUGAUUAGCUAGUUGGUGUGGUAACGGCACACCAAGGCUACGAUCAGUAACUGGUCUGAGAGGAUGAUCAGUCACACUGGAACUGAGACACGGUCCAGACUCCUACGGGAGGCAGCAGUGAGGAAUAUUGAGCAAUGCUCGAAAGAGUGACCCAGCAACGCCGCGUGGAGGAUGAAGGUAUUCUAUAUCGUAAACUCCUGUGAGAGCAGACGAAAGACAGAUUAUUAAUCUGGAUGACUGUAUGCUCAGAGGAAGCCCCGGCUAACUACG
RNAcentral lists this ribosomal RNA (477 nucleotides) under uncultured bacterium. Its description in RNAcentral is "bacterial SSU rRNA". It matches the Rfam family "Bacterial small subunit ribosomal RNA", at positions 28 to 505 of the family's 1533-position model. The record is from RNAcentral.